AGAUAAAAAUAGGUAGGUAUUCAAACAUAAUCUGUAAAACGAUUAACAAUUUUUAGAAAACAUUAAGCCAUCUAUAAAUUCCUGAAAAUAAAUUAGCCGUGAUUUUCAGAAAAAAUGUUCUAAUCAUUUUUUCCCACAUGAUGUCCUUUCAGGAAACAGCACGGACAUUAGGCAUAACAAGUAAUUGUAAAAAUAUGAGCAAAAAUGAGAUGGUUUAAAAGAGUGAAAACUUUAAGGUUAGGAAAUUUCAAACUCAAAGGAAAACAGGAAAACUGAUUAAAAACUGAUAACUAAGUACUGUUAAGGUAAACUACUAAACACAUAAUACAAAAAACAAUUUAUCAUCUUUAAAACCAUAAGGCAUAGCCAUAGGGUAUAUGGUAUAUGAGAUAGGUAGACAGUACAAGGUAGGUACAAUAUGAUCGAAAAAAAAACGGCGUCAGCGAUGGCUAUGAAUAUAUGUAAUCUUUUAACGUCUUUUAUAUGUAAAAUUAUAUAGGGAAUGUCAUGGAUCGUCAUUUCCAAGCCAACUGGACGGCGGUUUUUUUGAUCAUAUGGGAUAUAAGUGUCAGUUUUGCUAGACCACAGACCUCUAUAUAUUAUACUUCUAGCACAAGGACAUAUUGGCAAGCCUUAGGUCAGUGUUUACAUGUCUAGGUGUGAAUCGCUAUGGUGAUCAUGUGGCGAUCUAGUCGGAGAUAGCCAAGUAUUUAUUACAUAACCACUGAAUCUGAUGAUUUCAUAUGUUUUAUUCAAUACAUCUUAUGUUACUAAUAAGCAUAUUGACCAUACUCUUCAUAUACAUGAAAAUCGGUACCAAUGUACCAAUGUCAUCGAUGGAAUUUCGCCACAAGGCACAUUUAAGAGGACUGGUUCUGUAAAGGCAUUUAUUUUUGUUUUUCUAUUUAUAAAUUCGUUAACUAUUUAUAAAUUCGUAAACUUAAAAUUAAGAUCUAGGAUAGAAAAACCUGCAUAGACACAACUUGGGUAUUUUCGAAUACUUUAUUUAGAAGAUCUUGAUAGGACAAUGAUAUAAGAUUACAGAAAAAUACCUGACGUUUCGAAGAAUUUAAAGGAUGGAAGAUAUUCAGGGUACCCUUCGGGAACAAUUUAGAUUGAUAUAGCAUAAAUUACAGUAAAGUCUGAACAUUAAAGCAUAAAGAAACAAAACCCACUACUGAUUCUGCCAGAUAUAAAGAGUACCUAGUAAAAAAAAACUUGUGUUUUAUACUAUCAAUAACAUAUAAAUGUG
This 1252-nucleotide long non-coding RNA is filed under the name Sitophilus oryzae (rice weevil). RNAcentral describes it as "uncharacterized LOC115891209, transcript variant X3". The record is from RNAcentral. Lineage: Eukaryota; Metazoa; Arthropoda; Insecta; Coleoptera; Curculionidae.